Paramuricea clavata is the source of this 906-nucleotide non-coding RNA. Lineage: Eukaryota; Metazoa; Cnidaria; Anthozoa; Malacalcyonacea; Plexauridae. The record is from the annotation of a GenBank genome assembly.
CGCCGCAUUUCGGCAUACCUCGUGUAGCCACAUAAAAAUGCAGUAUGCUGUAGUUUCAUGGGCGGUACCUCAGCUAUAUCCGGAGGUAUGAACUAUAGCAGUUUCUAGAAUAUAGGUACAUAAAAAUGCAGUGUGCUGUAGUUUCAUGGGCGGUACCUCAGCUAUAUCCGGAGGUAUGAACUAUAGCAGUUUCUAGAAUAUAGGUACAUAAAAAUGCAGUAUGCUGUAGUUUCAUGGGCGGUACCUCAGCUAUAUCCGGAGGUAUGAACUAUAGCAGUUUCUAGAAUAUAGGUACAUAUAAAUGCAGUAUGCUGUAGUUUCAUCGGCGGUACCUCAGCUAUAUCCGGAGGUAUGAACUAUAGCAGUUUCUAGAAUAUAGGUACAUAAAAAUGCAGUAUGCUGUAGUUUCAUGGGCGGUACCUCAGCUAUAUCCGGAGGUAUGAACUAUAGCAGUUUAUAGAAUAUAGGAACAUAAAAAUGCAGCAUAUACCAAGCAGUGUUCGGCUACUUUAUUACCGUGGCUGUAAAGUAUACCAAUCAAUAAUGAGGUCUUGCAAUUUACUGAAGUUACUAAUCCGGCUAAUGUAUAUGCAGCCCCCUGCCGAGAAAAGCCUGCUGACGCAAAAUGCAAAUCCUCUAUACUUUACUUUUAACACUCAUACUGCUUUAGGGCAAACCACAGUUUACAGCUUCAAAAUCCUAAUAGACUUUUCUCAAGACUCACCUAGUUUCUAUUACUAGCAUGUGAACCGCUCAGGAUCAAGCUCAUCGCAGGUAAACAAAAAUGUAGAGCAGUUGUCCCACACUUCCACAACCCCACAAAAACAUUGGUUCAUUUACUGGUACAUUUAAUUAUCAUCGAUUUGCCAUAUAUAAAUAUCACUUGAGCACAUUAACAAUCCAGCU